RNAcentral lists this ribosomal RNA (254 nucleotides) under uncultured bacterium. RNAcentral describes it as "partial 16S ribosomal RNA". It matches the Rfam family "Bacterial small subunit ribosomal RNA", at positions 524 to 777 of the family's 1533-position model. The record is from RNAcentral.
UACAGAGGUCCCAAGCGUUGUUCGGAUUCACUGGGCGUAAAGGGUGCGUAGGUGGCCAGGUAAGUUUGAUGUGAAAGCUCGGAGCUUAACUCCGAAAUGGCAUUGAAUACUAUCUGGCUUGAGGGUCGGAGGGGAGACUGGAAUUCUCGGUGUAGCAGUGAAAUGCGUAGAUAUCGAGAGGAACACCAGUGGCGAAGGCGAGUCUCUGGACGACACCUGACACUGAGGCACGAAAGCUAGGGGAGCAAACCAGG